GCUAACUCCGGGCCAGAGGCGGCGGUAAUACGGAGGGGGCAAGCGUUAAUGGGAAUUACUGGGCGUAAAGCGUGCGCAGGCGGCUUAUUAAGUCAGAUGUGAAAUCCCUAGGCUCAACCUAGGAACUGCAUUUGAAACUAAUAAACUAGAGUAUCGUAGAGGGAGGUAGAAUUCCAGGUGUAGCGGUGAAAUGCGUAGAUAUCUGGAGGAAUACCAGUGGCGAAGGCGACCUCCUGGACGAAAACUGACGCUCAAGCACGAAAGCAUGGGGAGCAAACAGGAUUAGAUACCCGAGUAGUC
This 300-nucleotide ribosomal RNA is filed under the name uncultured Lactobacillus sp. RNAcentral describes it as "bacterial SSU rRNA". It matches the Rfam family "Bacterial small subunit ribosomal RNA", at positions 496 to 795 of the family's 1533-position model. Lineage: Bacteria; Bacillati; Bacillota; Bacilli; Lactobacillales; Lactobacillaceae. The record is from RNAcentral.